CCGAUUCUUUGGUUCAAUUCUGAUACGGUUCCUAUUUGAUUCUUGAUGAAACACCAGAACUGAACCAACAGUAAAUAUAAGUUCAAUUCGGUUCUUACAGUGAUGGUUCUUUUUCGGUUUCAGUACUAUUUUUCAGUUCGGUUUGGAACGUCCAAGAAUGGUGCACAGCCCUAACUAGGGCCAUCAAGCAGACACUUUUGCAUUCAAGUAUUCAACACAAGAGGAUCUCAAAAAGAUGAUAAAAAUGAUAAACCUUACCUUUGUAGAGAACCAAAUCCAAACAAGGAAAAGUGAAAUCAUAUAAAGAACCUUUGACAUGUAGAACUAGAAAGCUAUAGAACAAUAUACUAAACUUAACGAAGCCUCAAUAGCAAUCUAGUUGGGGUCGGCUCCAUGCAUCCUUUUCCGUCAUUUUACUCAGUUUAUGGCCACAUUUUGAUAGAAAGCUCUAGACAAAUAUAAUGCAUGAAUAUUACAUUGCAGAGCAGAGUUAGACCAGAUUUUCAAUAAUCAACUAUGAGAAUAAAGCAAGGAAGUUUACCUUUCCUUGUCUUGGGUGGUCUAAUACCACCACUUACAAUUGAAGUAGGAGAAAGAGGCCUCUUGGCUGGCACAGGUUUCAUUGACGGUUCCGACUUCUUGGAAGAAAUGAGAGAUGAGUAAAGAAUAGCAUCAACAGCCUCUCGCUGUUGUUUCCUUUUUGUGAUUAAAUCUUCAGAAGCACCUAUUUGAUUAGGAGCCCUACCAACACUACCCUCCCUCUCUUUAAUACCACUUCCAGCUGAGGAAGUUGAAAUUUCCAAAUUCCUAUUAUGCUUAAAAGAUUUCUUUGGUCCUUUUGACAUAUUCACUUUCAAGUUAUCACGACUAUCACUCAUUUCUUGUUCAGAGUUGGAUAAAUUACUCUUUGAAUUCAUUUUAUCUUUCCUCUCACCCUUAUGAGGAAUUUUCUCACUUUUGUCAUUGCACUUACUUUCACUAUCCCCAAUAUAUUCCCUUGAAGUUGCAGACUUCACAUUCUUUGACAUUCUGUUCUCAACAGUAGCAUCCACAGAUGGAAGAUUAUGAUCUCUAGCUUUUCUUUUGCUACAAUGGACAUAUUCCUUCUUGCCUAAAGUAUUAUCAUUGUCUUCUGCAACUGCCCUAUUGCAUUGAGCCACAAAACUGAUUUUUUUGGAAUUCCUGUGAAACAAUGCCUGCAUCCUGUGCUCACUUUGUUUGCUAGGCUUGCUAGGAUCUCUAGCAUUUUCAACGUGCUUCACCUGUCUUGAAUAAUUCUCAGAUUUUUCAGUAGUACUGUUAUGCCUGAAAGCUGUUUUAAAGAACUCAUAUGGCCUUUUAACUGAGAUAAUCAAGUUUCUCUCUUUAGCAUCUUUUACCAGGGCAGCCCAGUUAUGGUUUGUUUGCAGAGUCCUUGCAUUACCGAAAAUCCAAAGGGAGAACUUGGCUCUUGUCAAAGCAACAUUCAUCCGCCUAACAUCAGCAAUAAACCCAAUACUGCUGGAGUUGACUCCAUUUGUAUAAGAACAUGAAUCUGCUGCUCUAACAGUGGAAAAUAUCAAUAUAUCAACUUCCCGCCCUUGAAAACCAUCAACAGUAUUAAACUCCAUAUCAGCUAUAAUGGAAGACCCAAAUGCACUAGAAAAAUGAGAACGCAAAAGUGAUAGUUGGCUCUUGUAUGGAGUUAUGAUGCCAAUUUUUCCACCAUCAAAGUGAGAGGGGUACCUCUUCUUGAAAUUUCUGACUAAUGCGACAGCAGCUUCAGCUUCAUGCUCAUUAUAGAGGGAAAAUCCACCGGAAUUCUUACCACGAUGUUGCUGGCCGUCAAUAAUGUCAUAGAAUACAUAAGGGCCAAGACCCUCACUCUCAUGAAAUGGUGCUGAUUUGCUUGACAUUUCUUCUCCAUUUAGUAGUUUACCAUCAUAAAAAUGCAAGGAGGGAAACCGGCAAAUCUCUGGGUGCAUCCUAUACUGUUUGGUAAGCAUGGUAACUGGAUGACCAGCCCUUUGUAAACGCUCAAACAUGCUACAUUCAUAAAGAAAUUUGCUUGCAACAUUAGAGAGGACUGUUGCAGGAAGCUGCUUUGGGUCACCAACCAUGAUACAUUUUGUCCCAUAUGACUUUAAAAGCUGUAGAGGAAUCAAAGUAGCAGGUUCCAAAGCUUGAGCUGCUUCAUCAAUCACAACAGCAUCAAAAAGGGUAUGCUCAGAUGGAUUCCCAAAUUUAUAACUUGAUAUAGAUUCAGAGCAGACUCCAUAGAGAUCACCACCGCACCCACUUAAUGUAGUCACCACAAUUUCAGCUUCCUUCAGUAUAGACUUCCGCAGCUUAUGUUUCAGAGCCUUAAUUUCUUCAUAAGUUUUCUUCUCCUGUGCCUGAGCAGCGCUAAGAUCUCUAAAAAUUUGUUUCUUCCGCUCAUAUAACUUUCGUAGCUUCACCUCCAAUUCAGCAUCUGACAUUUCUUUUAAGUCGUCCCCUUUCAAUGUUCCAUCAUCUAAAGAAUUUUUGAGAUCUGAAUUCCCAUCCUGUAAGUUAGCUCGCUUAGCCUCAUAAAACCUAAUAUGGUCGACUAACUUUUCUAGAUUAGAACGCAAUGCCGUAGAAGAGCCUACGCUUGAACCAUUUUUAGCAUCAUUCAAAUUCAUCCUCUCUUCAGCAAGGUGAUUAUCAACAAGAGUAUCAAUAAAGAAGGGCAGUGAAUUUGCAUGAAUUGUUUUAGCAUUACCAACCCGUACAAUAUAUGGCUUGUACGUUUUACCAUCACUGCCAUAAAGGCCGCCACCAGAAAUUCUUGACACCAACUCAUCAACAGCAGCAUUUGAUUGAGCACAAAUGAGUACCCUUCUCCUUACAGAACCUUCCACUGACUUUUCGUUUCUCUCUGCAUUCUCAUUUAACUGUCUAGCCAAGGCAGCAUCUUGCCAUGCUCUUGCAAUUGCAACAGACUGGCUAACUUUGGGCCUUGUAUUCAAGCAUGAACUAUUAAUUUGUUUUGAAUUUCCAUUCAAACGAUUCUUUGCAUCAUUUGUUCCUCGUAGUGAAGCAAGCAAGCCACUGACAAUGGCCACUAUAGUUCGGGUCUUCCCAGUACCUGGAGGACCCUGAAUGAGAGAUAAUUCAAUGUCUUUCUUUGAAUUAGGCAAUCCAAUUGCAACAUUGAUAGCUUGCAAUUGGUUCUCAUUAAAGGAUGACUUCAGUGCUUGCUGCAAGGGCUGGGAUAGCUUACCCAGAGAUAGCUCUCUCAAUUCAUUAUGAUCCAGAGAAUCAUUGACUGGUUUUAGAAUAACUGAAAGCAUGGGAAUAUCCUUAAUUGAUGAUAGCACCUGAAAUUCUCGAAGUUGAGGUGUAAUGCUCAUGAUGCGACUUGCAUGCCAUUUGCUACGUUCAAGAAGUUGCCUCCUAGCUUGAUUUAAACGUGAAGAUCCAUUUAGAAAAUAGAACCUGAUUAGAAGCAUACUUGCCCUUCUUUUAUUGUCUCUCUCACGUCUCUCCACCUUGCCAACCAUAUGAACAUCAUGGUAAGUAUUUUGCGGAGCCUCUUUUGUCAGCAAAAUGAGGUCAUUUUCUGCAAAGCUUUUGGGUGAUGUAAAAUCAUUGUCAUCAUGGACAAAGCGAACAAGAUGAAAGUCAUCAACCCUCUCAACAGACAACACAGAUAGAAUGCCAUAAUACAUCUCCUCCCAUGAAGACAUAUCUAGGAAGGAACUAUUCAACUGUGCUUUAAACUCCUCCAAAACUAAUGGCCGAAAAAUGUCAACAUAUUGUUCUGGUGAUUGAAAACAUACUGGAACCUCCUUUAAUUUACUAUUGCUAACCAUCAGAGUCUCAUCUUCACUUGCAGAUGUCAAACCCACUAUUUCAAAGUAAUUUAUUUCCAAAAUGAGCUUAUACCAAGCAUCAAGCCUUGGAGGCUUGAACCUUUUCACUCCAGCCUCCAGUCUGUGUAAACUUCCAAAUCUGUUAUCAGCAGGUGUUUUAAGUUGGAUGACUUGCCUUUUUGGACAAGAAGCACUAAUCUUUGCCAGAAACAAGGGUUGCUGUCUCACUGAUUUGAAUGAAGACUCAGAUAUAUCAGCAUUAGCAUCAUGCACAAGCUCUUUCAAUAUUGAAUCUCUUGUUUCAGAAACCAUACUGUGGCAAAUUUGAUUCAUACUUUUAGCAUUCAUAGGCUCAUCACAGGAGUUCUUCAAAUUAAUUUUAUUUUGAGAUGAGAAGGCAUCAUAUAUGUCGACUUUGGACUUGACUUCUUUGCUCUUAUCAUCUGCACCUUUUGAUUUGAGAGAAGAAAGUGAUUUGUCUCUUAAUUUAUCAAAUUCCUGCUUCUGAGAAGUGAGGCCAGAUCUAUCUGAAGCAUCCUUUUGUUCAAAGGCAUCCACUAGAUCCCUUGAAGUCCUAAUGCUAGAAACCUUCUCCUUUGCAGCGUCAGUUACUAAAGCACUUCUAUCAACUGGAGAAGCCACUCUCCAGCUAUCUAAUUGAACAUGACCUGAAUUUUCAUUAUCAGGUAGAAUGACCUCAGCAGGUGAAAUUUGUCUUUCAGCUUCAUCAUCCGAAAGAACAAUCACUUUGCUUUUUUCCCCUCUAUUAGCUACUGACAUAGAAUCCAGGGAUUGCACGCUACUAUCCUUCACAGGGGCAGCCUGCAUGUAAGAAGCAGAAUACCUUCUUACAAAAGACAAAUCUGCAGAAACUGAAGCUUGUGGUCUUAAUUUGGCCAUCACCAUAUCACCAGAAACUUCCUUAGAUAAUGAAACACGAAGGCGUGAAACUUCUUCCAUCAAUUGAUCAACAUUAACACUCUCACAUAAAAUAAGAUUCUCAAUGACCUUAAAAGUCGAUGCAGAUGCAGUACUGCAAGAACCUUUGAGCAGAUUCAGCAAAGAAGUUACCGUUCGUUUCCAGUAGACAAUUACAACUUUAAGUGAUGAUUUCCCCCAGUCAAUCAGAUCAUGUAGCCACAUGAAGUCCAAUAAAUUUCCCACAAUUUUUCCAGAAUCCCUAGUAUGCUCAAUGAGAGAUGGGUAAAGUCUCUCAAAAACAACAGGGAGGAUUUCAAGUACACGAACACAAGUCAUCUGAAACAAGAAGAAUAUGAUGACAAUGCCUACUAAACCAAAAUUAAGUUAAAAUUCCAUCAGUGUGAAAUCAUAAAUUCUCUCUAAGAAAGCAAUGUGCAUACUGUAACAGAUGCAGAAACCCAGAGGAUAGAGAGUUAAAAAGAGUAAUUUAUUAGUGAUAGUUGCUAAAAUACCUGGCAAAGACUGUAAUCUACAAAUCCUUUCCCUUCUAUCAAACACUUUCGAAUUGAUGGCCAUGCAUUUUCUAACAGCAAGUAACGGAAACUCUCCUGUGAUUUUAAGUCAUCACUUGUUGAAUGCCCUCCAACAUUUGCAGGCAAAGAAUCAAAGAUUGGCUGUGUCAAAAAUCCACCUUCGGAAGAGUACUUCUUUGCUACUGAAUUAUCAGAUGAAUUUUCAGAAACUAAAUCCCCUUCUGUUAUUAGUUUCCGGAGUAUAAAGAAAAAAUGCUGCAAAGUGUGAAAUUUUGAUACAACAGAAUCCAAUUGAACCACUUUCAAAGCAUGUCUCAACCCUAAAAAUAUGGCUGACAAAGAAGAACCACUGGAGCAAAGGAACUUCAAUCCACAUGCAAGACCCCGUGUACUGGAAACAUGCUCCAACAGACACUUGCCAACUUGCCUCACACUAUCAUUAGGAUCCAGAAGUGAAAGGAUCAAGCUCUCUGCCAUCCAUGGUUCCCAUGUCCACUGCUUCCGAAGUUCCCCUUGCCCCACUUGAACUACAAAAUGAGCAGUCAACCUGUUGAAUGCUCUUAUCAAAGGAAGAUGCAGCAUUGACACUCUUAUCGAGUUUUUUGACUCCUUCCCACCCCCACCAUCGUCAGAACCAGUUGGGACCUUCCAACCAAAUGAAGUGGAGAGUUCUGUGACUGAAGAAGAAAGCCAAGUUUUAACAGCAAGUGCCAUUUCUGCACUGUUUUCAGGUUCUAUCAUGGUUAAAUGAGAUCGGGCCCAGAAAACAGCCUUUGAAAAUGAUACUGGAAGGAUAGAUGGAUCAAUAUCAACCAGAACAUCUAUCCAUAACAUGGGAACGCACAUCCAGUCUUUGUAGUCUUGAGAAGUAAUCUUACUCUGAGCACUGAAUUCACUCCAACAACCACUAUCAUUUUCUUCAACAUCAGAGGAAAAUAGAAGUCUGUCAUCAUCAUUAAACUCAAUUGAAAUGUUUCUAUCAACAUCUAACGGGGCACGGUUGUCCAACAAUGCAGCUACUAAGGCAGCAGCAUCAGACACUAUAAUAGUUUGUAUAAGAUCAAAAGCUGGUUGCCGAAGAGAACUAUGAAGUGAAGAAUCCUUCAAAGAUGACACAAGUGAAGGACCCCACAUAUGCACACAUUCAACUGGGGGGCAUGGUGGGUUCAUCUUGUAGCCUCGGUUUAUGAUAAGAAGGGCUAUCUUGCAUGCCAAUUUUCUUGUCAGAACAUUGAAGUUGCUGCUCACAGGAACUUGAUGUAGAAGAAAAUAGAGAAAAUGCCUGCGCUGCCUUUCAUGUUCCCCAUCUUGCAAAGCCUCAAGUGACUGAAGAAAAGGAGGAAGAAGAUCAAAAAUAUCUUUAUGGAUCUUCUCAUUUCGAGUAUGGAAACACUGGCCCAAUAAUGUGUUCCGCAUCACACUUGGAGACAAUGUAGACCUUAGCCAAAGCUUGCAACCAAGCAUUUUGAAAAGUUCUUUCAAACAGCUUACUGCAUGAGAAAAUUCAGCUGAAUCACCACUUAUAUGGUUGAGCACAAUAUCAAAAAAAAUGGGAUAGCGCUCAAGUAUGCCUUCUUCAAAAGCAGGAGGUUCUAAGAACUCUAGCAGUGAUGUUAUUCCAAGCCAUAUAGAUAAGCGAUCCAGCUGCGCUCUUGGCCUUGGAGUCUUGGUGGCUGAUGGUAGUGCUUCUGUUUCCAGAAAACCAAUAAAUUUGUUCAGCAAAGGCUGGAAAGGUUCCAUAUCUGUUGCUCUCCUCAAUUUUUCCAUAGAACGAGCUAAGUGCCGACCAAUGGUACGUACUCUUCUAUUGCAGAAAAGCAACACAAAUACACCCGGAAAUUGUUGAUGUCCAGCCAAAGUCAGCUCAUGCAUAUUAUCAACUGCUUCAAUAAACAAUUCAAAUUCAAUGACCAAGGACUGAUCAUCAAGCAGGACAGGAAACAUCAUGACCUCAUACAUAAGACUAACGAUUUCAGCAUUAUCCCGCUGAUGAUCGUACUCUUCCUUCUUUAGUCUAGAAUUUAUCUCACGCAAAUGUUGAGUUACCCUUUCCUCAUCCAGACUUCGCAGCACGUCAAGAAGGGGACCAAUUGAACUCGACUCAUACUCCAUACUGUACAUCUCUUUGGCCUGGUGGUGCUGACAUAUGCAUUGGAUGCAUUGCCGUAAUUCCUGAGAAAUCCUCUUCCACAUAAGCCGUAGAGGAGAAUCAGGACGCUCAUCUUUGAAAUAAUUAUAGAAUGUCUCCAAAAGUGGCCCCAUUAAAUCCCAAGAGCCACACCAUAUAUGGUUUUCUUUAGGCAAACUAAUCAAAAAAUUAAACGUAUCUGCAAACCAUUCUUCUUUAAGCUGGUGCAGGCGGCGGCGUUUCAAUGGAUCGUCGUCGUCGUUUAGUUCUUCUUCUUCUUCCUCAAUGCCUCUCCAUCUAUCUAACAGCUCUCUCCUGGACCCAAUCUUAGCCAUUUCUUUAAAAAUGAUGAAAAAAAAAAAG
RNAcentral lists this unclassified non-coding RNA (7763 nucleotides) under Hevea brasiliensis (rubber tree). Lineage: Eukaryota; Viridiplantae; Streptophyta; Magnoliopsida; Malpighiales; Euphorbiaceae. The record is from RNAcentral.